GUAGGGGGCAAGCGUUGUCCGGAAUUAUUGGGCGUAAAGCGCGCGCAGGCGGUUCUUUAAGUCUGAUGUGAAAGCCCACGGCUCAACCGUGGAGGGUCAUUGGAAACUGGAGAACUUGAGUACAGAAGAGGAAAGCGGAAUUCCACGUGUAGCGGUGAAAUGCGUAGAGAUGUGGAGGAACACCAGUGGCGAAGGCGGCUUUCUGGUCUGUAACUGACGCUGAGGCGCGAAAGCGUGGGGAGCAAACAGGGAUUAGAUACCCUGGUAGUCCACGCCGUAAACGAUGAGUGCUAAGUGUUAGGGGGUUUCCGCCCCCUUAGUGCUGCAGCUAACGCAUUAAGCACUCCGCCUGGGGAGUACGGCCGCAAGGCUG
RNAcentral lists this ribosomal RNA (373 nucleotides) under uncultured organism. RNAcentral describes it as "partial 16S ribosomal RNA". It matches the Rfam family "Bacterial small subunit ribosomal RNA", at positions 527 to 896 of the family's 1533-position model. The record is from RNAcentral.